AACGCACCUUGCGCUCUCUGGUAUUCCGGAGAGCAUGCCUGUUUGAGUGUCAUGAACUCUUCAACCCACCGGUUCCUUGUUGGAUCGAGUUGGUGUUUGGAUCUUGAAUGUUGCUGGCCGUUAGAUUGUUAACUCAGUCGAGGGCGAAGCUCGUUCGUAAUACAUUAGCAUCUCAACUUCGAAAUUUCGGAUUGACUCAGCGUUAUAGACUAUUCGCUGAGGACACAAAGCAAUUGUGGCCGAAUUUAGAUAACUAGAAGCUUCUAAUCCCCAUACUAGUCAAAACUAUAAGAUUAGACCUCAGAUCAGGCAGGAUUACCCGCUGAACUUAA
This 332-nucleotide unclassified non-coding RNA is filed under the name uncultured Slooffia. Its description in RNAcentral is "sequence contains ITS2". The stretch from base 1 to 52 matches the Rfam family "5.8S ribosomal RNA", at positions 103 to 154 of the family's 154-position model. Lineage: Eukaryota; Fungi; Basidiomycota; Microbotryomycetes; Chrysozymaceae. The record is from RNAcentral.